RNAcentral lists this ribosomal RNA (159 nucleotides) under Ulmus americana (American elm). Its description in RNAcentral is "5.8S ribosomal RNA". It matches the Rfam family "5.8S ribosomal RNA". Rfam says of the family: 5.8S ribosomal RNA (5.8S rRNA) is a component of the large subunit of the eukaryotic ribosome. The record is from RNAcentral. RNAcentral also lists the same sequence under 1 other name. Lineage: Eukaryota; Viridiplantae; Streptophyta; Magnoliopsida; Rosales; Ulmaceae.
CGACUCUCGGCAACGGAUAUCUCGGCUCUCGCAUCGAUGAAGAACGUAGCGAAAUGCGAUACUUGGUGUGAAUUGCAGAAUCCCGUGAACCAUCGAGUCUUUGAACGCAAGUUGCGCCCGAAGCCAUCCGGCCGAGGGCACGUCUGCCUGGGCGUCACA